UCAGUUAUCGUUUAUUUGAUAGUACCUUACUACUUGGAUAACCGUGGUAAUUCUAGAGCUAAUACAUGCUUAAAACCCCGACUCACGGAGGGGUGUAUUUAUUAGAUUAAAAACCAAUGCCCUUCGGGGCUUUUUGGUGAUUCAUAAUAACUUCUCGAAUCGCAUGGCCUUGUGCCGGCGAUGGUUCAUUCAAAUUUCUGCCCUAUCAACUUUCGAUGGCAGGGUCUUGGCCUGCCAUGGUUACAACGGGUAACGGAGGGUUAGGGCUCGACCCCGGAGAAGGAGCCUGAGAAACGGCUACUACAUCCAAGGAAGGCAGCAGGCGCGCAAAUUACCCAAUCCCGAUACGGGGAGGUAGUGACAAUAAAUACUGAUACAGGGCUCUUUUGGGUCUUGUAAUUGGAAUGAGUACAAUUUAAAUCCCUUAACGAGGAACAAUUGGAGGGCAAGUCUGGUGCCAGCAGCCGCGGUAAUUCCAGCUCCAAUAGCGUAUAUUAAAGUUGUUGCAGUUAAAAAGCUCGUAGUUGAACCUUGGGCCUGGCUGGCCGGUCCGCCUCACCGCGUGCACUGGUUCGGCCGGGCCUUUCCCUCUGGGGAAUCCCAUGCCCUUCACUGGGUGUGGCGAGGAACCAGGACUUUUACUGUGAAAAAAUUAGAGUGUUCAAAGCAGGCCUAUGCUCGAAUACAUUAGCAUGGAAUAAUAGAAUAGGACGUGUGGUUCUAUUUUGUUGGUUUCUAGGACCGCCGUAAUGAUUAAUAGGGACAGUCGGGGGCAUCAGUAUUCAAUUGUCAGAGGUGAAAUUCUUGGAUUUAUUGAAGACUAACUACUGCGAAAGCAUUUGCCAAGGAUGUUUUCAUUAAUCAGGAACGAAAGUUAGGGGAUCGAAGACGAUCAGAUACCGUCGUAGUCUUAACCAUAAACUAUGCCGACUAGGGAUCGGACGAUGUUAUUUUUUGACUCGUUCGGCACCUUACGAGAAAUCAAAG
Molecule: ribosomal RNA, 987 nt
Filed under: Ascotricha lusitanica
Lineage: Eukaryota; Fungi; Ascomycota; Sordariomycetes; Xylariales; Xylariaceae
Description: SSU rRNA
Rfam family: Eukaryotic small subunit ribosomal RNA
Source: RNAcentral